Molecule: transfer RNA, 75 nt
Filed under: Porphyromonas gulae
Lineage: Bacteria; Pseudomonadati; Bacteroidota; Bacteroidia; Bacteroidales; Porphyromonadaceae
Description: tRNA-Arg
Rfam family: tRNA
About the family: Transfer RNA (tRNA) molecules are approximately 80 nucleotides in length. Their secondary structure includes four short double-helical elements and three loops (D, anti-codon, and T loops).
Source: RNAcentral
GGCUCUGUAGUUCAACGGAUAGAAUAGUGGUUUCCUAAACCAUAGAUUCGGGUUCGAUUCCCGACGGAGCUACCA